Long non-coding RNA from Oncorhynchus tshawytscha (Chinook salmon), 311 nucleotides. Lineage: Eukaryota; Metazoa; Chordata; Actinopteri; Salmoniformes; Salmonidae. The record is from Ensembl.
AGAGGUACUGUACUGGCUAGAUGGGAGGUACUGUACUGGCUAGAUGGGAGGUACUGUACUGGCUAGAUGGGAGGUACUGUACUGGCUAGAUGGGAGGUACUGUACUGGCUGGGAGGUACUGUACUGGCUAGAUGGGAGGUACUGUACUGGCUAGAUGGGAGGUACUGUACUGGCUAGAUGGUAGGUACUGUACUGGCUAGAUGGGAGGUACUGUACUGGCUAGAUGGGAGGUACUGUACUGGCUAGAUGGGAGGUACUGUACUGUAUUGGCUAGAUGGGAGGUACUGUACUGUAUUGGCUAGAUGGGAGGG